UUCCUGUCACUGCAGCCAGAUAGUUUCCAUGCUGCUUUCUAGGAGCACUAGAGAGUACUGUCUUCUAAUACCUGUAGGUUUUGAUGGAUGAUAUAAAGAAAGGAGGAGAUGAAGUAUUUCUACCACUCAGUUCCACUUUGAAAUGCCAUGACCACAGUUGAUGUAUGUCCUUUUCUACAUAUGACACUAGCAAACCUGACUCUAUCCAAUAUAGAUUUGAAUUAAUUUGCUCAGCAAAUACUUGUUAAGAAUUUACUAGGCACAAUCCACUGUCUAAGCACCAAAUAGGGAGAGGAUAGAAGCAGGAGUACCUGGGAGACAGAUAUAAGAGAAAAAGAUCACAAUACCUUUCUAUUGAAUGUCUGAACUAAGCUAACCUUUGUAGGCAUUCAGAGGAAAGUGAGCACAGCCAACAAAGAGGGAGGCAUGAAAGACAUUGAGUUGAUUUUUCUUUCUUUUUAUGGGGAGGAGGAGAAAAGCCUAAAUAGAGCCAGCAGCACAUGUGUUUAGGUAUCUGGCAGGGUUGGUGUUUGGUGAGUGGAGAAAAGGAGGCCUUAAGAGUAUCCAUUCCCAGUAGUUGCUGUGAUACAGAUUGGCCUUUUAUUUGUUGAAGAUGAAACCAGCUCUGACUUCUUAAGACAAUUCUGUUACCUGAAGUUUCCAUGUGCCCCAUGGCCAGGGCAGUCAGGAUGCCUGUUAUUUGACCACCUCCUGCACAGUUCCAAUUCAUUGGAUUCCAACCAGACCUAGUACACUGCCUAAUUUCAGGGAGGCAGGUUAAGUAACAAAGUAGAGGUUGGCCACCUUUCAGAUGUGAAUCCUAAGCACUCCAGUGCACUGAACAUGAGGCAUGCACCUACUUCAGUCCCCAUCUAUUUAGAUGCUUGGAAAAUGGGCCCCUGGCCUCUUGACCCAGGCCUUAAAUAGUUCUAGGGCCAGAUAAAUUGAGCUUAUACAGAUACUGAGUAUAUCUGGGGUCUCUUGGUCUUCAGCUGCCCCAGGUGGACAUCAAAGAGCAGAUCCAAUUAGUUAGGCUGAACCUACUCAGGCCAGUGCAGUAAUUUAUGGUUGUGAGGAACCACCCCUACCCACUUAAGAACAGAGAACAAUAUGCAAGGGCAUGGGGAGCAAAAUUUGCCAACUUAUAGUUAAAUCAAACACUUUUUUUAGUAGGUAAAUAAGAUAUUCAUAAAAGCCUAAAGUGAUUAUAUUAUAUAGAAGGGGGAGA
RNAcentral lists this long non-coding RNA (1228 nucleotides) under Marmota monax (woodchuck). The record is from RNAcentral. Lineage: Eukaryota; Metazoa; Chordata; Mammalia; Rodentia; Sciuridae.